Molecule: ribosomal RNA, 422 nt
Filed under: uncultured bacterium
Lineage: Bacteria
Description: partial 16S ribosomal RNA
Rfam family: Bacterial small subunit ribosomal RNA
Source: RNAcentral
AAUUUUGGACAAUGGGGGCAACCCUGAUCCAGCCAUCCCGCGUGUGCGAUGACGGNCUNNGGGUUNUNAAGCACUCUUGGCCGNNNNNAAAAGGCGCCGGAUAAUACCUGGCCCCGCUGACGGUACCUGCCGAAUAAGCCCCGGCCAACUACGUGCCAGCAGCCGCGGUAAUACGUAGGGUGCAAGCGUUAAUCGGAAUUACUGGGCGUAAAGCGUGAGCAGGCGGUUCGGAAAGAAAGAUGUGAAAUCCCAGGGCUUAACCUUGGAACUGCAUUUUUAACUGCCGGGCUAGAGUAUGUCAGAGGGGGGUAGAAUUCCACGUGUAGCAGUGAAAUGCGUAGAGAUGUGGAGGAAUACCGAUGGCGAAGGCAGCCCCCUGGGAUAAUACUGACGCUCAUGCACGAAAGCGUGGGGAGCAAACA